GACGAACGCUGGCGGCGUGCCUAAUACAUGCAAGUUGAGCGCUGAAGGUUGGUACUUGUACCAACUGGAUGAGCAGCGCACGGGUGAGUAACGCGUGGGGAAUCUGCCUUUGAGCGGGGGACAACAUUUGGAAACGAAUGCUAAUACCGCAUAAAAACUUUAAACACAAGUUUUAAGUUUGAAAGAUGCAAUUGCAUCACUCAAAGAUGAUCCCGCGUUGUAUUAGCUAGUUGGUGAGGUAAAGGCUCACCAAGGCGAUGAUACAUAGCCGACCUGAGAGGGUGGGCGGCCACAUUGGGACUGAGACACGGCCCAAACUCCUACGGGAGGCAGCAGUAGGGAAUCGUCGGCAAUGGACGGAAGUCUGACCGAGCAACGCCGCGUGAGUGAAGAAGGUUGUCGGAUCGGAAAACUCUGUUGGUAGAGAAGAACGUUGGUGAGAGUGGAAAGCUCAUCAAGUGACGGUAACUACCCAGAAAGGGACGGCUAACUACGUG
RNAcentral lists this ribosomal RNA (497 nucleotides) under uncultured bacterium. RNAcentral describes it as "partial 16S ribosomal RNA". It matches the Rfam family "Bacterial small subunit ribosomal RNA", at positions 28 to 507 of the family's 1533-position model. The record is from RNAcentral.